Molecule: ribosomal RNA, 458 nt
Filed under: Staphylococcus aureus
Lineage: Bacteria; Bacillati; Bacillota; Bacilli; Caryophanales; Staphylococcaceae
Description: bacterial SSU rRNA
Rfam family: Bacterial small subunit ribosomal RNA
Source: RNAcentral
UUUUAUGGAGAGUUUGAUCCUGGCUCAGGAUGAACGCUGGCGGCGUGCCUAAUACAUGCAAGUCGAGCGAACGGACGAGAAGCUUGCUUCUCUGAUGUUAGCGGCGGACGGGUGAGUAACACGUGGAUAACCUACCUAUAAGACUGGGAUAACUUCGGGAAACCGGAGCUAAUACCGGAUAAUAUUUUGAACCGCAUGGUUCAAAAGUGAAAGACGGUCUUGCUGUCACUUAUAGAUGGAUCCGCGCUGCAUUAGCUAGUUGGUAAGGUAACGGCUUACCAAGGCAACGAUGCAUAGCCGACCUGAGAGGGUGAUCGGCCACACUGGAACUGAGACACGGUCCAGACUCCUACGGGAGGCAGCAGUAGGGAAUCUUCCGCAAUGGGCGAAAGCCUGACGGAGCAACGCCGCGUGAGUGAUGAAGGUCUUCGGAUCGUAAAACUCUGUUAUUAGGGAAG